This 460-nucleotide long non-coding RNA is filed under the name Chinchilla lanigera (long-tailed chinchilla). RNAcentral's name for it is "lncRNA (ENSCLAG00000023080.1)". The record is from RNAcentral. Lineage: Eukaryota; Metazoa; Chordata; Mammalia; Rodentia; Chinchillidae.
UGCUAACCAGGGCUAUGGGGAGUCUUCUAUUGAACUACUCCACCCUCACCUGCAUUGGGAGAAAUCACGGCAGCUGCCACAUCUCCUCACCAAAUGUCCUGGGAGGAGAAAAUAUCAAGCCAAUGGGGAUAAGGCUUAAGGCUUUGAAUGGUCCCGGAAGAAGAAAUGAAAUGGAGCUCUACGCUGGUCCUGCUGUGACUGUGCAAGGACUUAAAUCACCAAGGCACCGUGGCUGGGGCCUGUGGUUGGGCUGGAGGAAGUGUGGAGGGGGGGAGGCAGUACCAACCCUGGAAGUCAUUGUCCUGGAAUGGCUUGGCUGGCCCUGUGGAGCUGGUUGUCUUGUCUGAACACAGGCCAUCUCCCUGAAUUAAUCAUGUUGUCUGCCCCUCCUCCUCCUCCUCGUCCUCCUCCUCCUUCUCCUCCAUAAGAGAGGGCCCCCAACAGAACAUAAAGCUCUGUC